ACAGAUGACCAUUUUCACGUCCAAAUAGAGCAAGAAAUAAUCCUCUCUUCUCCUUCCCAGUGCUGAAACAGGGGAGACCUUUUUCCAGCCGUUGAUUUCGAAUCCUUCCCAUCCGUCCUCGUUUCAAAGCAACAGGAGCUCGUGCAGCCAGCGACCGAGUAGAAGACCAAAUCCUCUUCAUCCGGAUCGAUUUCCAGCUCCAAGCUUGUGAUUCAGCCCCCACCGUGUCCAUGCCACGCCCAGCUUCCGUUCCAACCUCCCAGCAGCCGAGAUUCACGUCCUCCGAUCAGCCCGUUCCAGCCGCAUCCAACGUCCCAGCCAUCCACGAAGCAUCCGGAGCCAUAGAUCCAGCCACCUUCUUCUUCAGCCCUCCCGCAUCCGCACCGUAUCUCUUCCACGAUCGGCUCCUCCCAGUGGUCCCGCGGCAUCCGAAGCCAUGAUCCCAGCAUCCAGCCUUCCAUUCCACCCUCUCGCUUCCAAUCCGGCGUCCACGAAGCUUCCGGUGAUUCCGCGUCUCCUCCGGAUUCACCAAGCAUCUGCAAUCAAGCCCAUGAUCCAAGCCAUCCUCCAGCCGGAUUCACGUCUUCCUCCAAGCGAUCCCGCGGUCAGCUCCAUCGAUCCAGCCGAUCCCGAGUAUUCCGCCUCAACGAUCACGCAUGCGUUCUUCCUCCUCUCCACGUGAAAUCAUGGGUCCAUCGCUGGCUGAUCUUUGGUGGGGAUCUAUAAAAGGAGGAAGGGAGCUCCCGGUUGGGGGUGGGCCAAAGAACAGGGGAGAAGAUAGCUCGGUGGAGGAGAGGGAGGGGAGAGCUCUGUUUCCAAAGGGAAGAAAGAAAGAAAAUGAAGAAAACAGAGCUUGCUCUGUUUUGAAGAGAAAGGAAGAAAAAAUAAAAAAUAAAAAAAUAGAGAGGGUUUGAGGCGGAUGGCAGAGGAGUUCUUCAGCAAACCAAUGGAGAUAACGGAAGCCAUGCGUAGCUAAAUAUCUAAUCUAGGGCUGGAUGAAGCCCUAGCAAUGUAACAGGGCAUUUGUAGUUCUUACUCUUUUAAUUUUUUGGAGCUCGUUUAAAUUCUUAUUAUCAAUGAAAAAUUCUUAUAUGAUGUUUAAACUUUGAG
RNAcentral lists this long non-coding RNA (1110 nucleotides) under Phoenix dactylifera (date palm). Its description in RNAcentral is "long non-coding RNA (PDAC_LNC004169)". Lineage: Eukaryota; Viridiplantae; Streptophyta; Magnoliopsida; Arecales; Arecaceae. The record is from RNAcentral.